Molecule: ribosomal RNA, 1296 nt
Filed under: Salmonella enterica
Lineage: Bacteria; Pseudomonadati; Pseudomonadota; Gammaproteobacteria; Enterobacterales; Enterobacteriaceae
Description: partial 23S ribosomal RNA
Rfam family: Bacterial large subunit ribosomal RNA
Source: RNAcentral
CACCACUAAGCCAGUGGUGAACUCCACAUACGCAUCCUUUGCGGAAGAUGCGGUUAACGGAGCGAAAGCGACGUUCAACCUCAGAAGAAGCAGAGGGGGCUUAGUGGUGGGGUGACUGCGUACCUUUUGUAUAAUGGGUCAGCGACUUAUAUUCUGUAGCAAGGUUAACCGCAUAGGGGAGCCGAAGGGAAACCGAGUCUUAACCGGGCGUUAAGUUGCAGGGUAUAGACCCGAAACCCGGUGAUCUAGCCAUGGGCAGGUUGAAGGUUGGGUAACACUAACUGGAGGACCGAACCGACUAAUGUUGAAAAAUUAGCGGAUGACCUGUGGCUGGGGGUGAAAGGCCAAUCAAACCGGGAGAUAGCUGGUUCUCCCCGAAAGCUAUUUAGGUAGCGCCUCGUGAACUCAUCUCCGGGGGUAGAGCACUGUUUCGGCUAGGGGGCCAUCCCGGCUUACCAACCCGAUGCAAACUGCGAAUACCGGAGAAUGUUAUCACGGGAGACACACGGCGGGUGCUAACGUCCGUCGUGAAGAGGGAAACAACCCAGACCGCCAGCUAAGGUCCCAAAGUCAUGGUUAAGUGGGAAACGAUGUGGGAAGGCCCAGACAGCCAGGAUGUUGGCUUAGAAGCAGCCAUCAUUUAAAGAAAGCGUAAUAGCUCACUGGUCGAGUCGGCCUGCGCGGAAGAUGUAACGGGGCUAAACCAUGCACCGAAGCUGCGGCAGCGACACUUUAGUGUUGUUGGGUAGGGGAGCGUUCUGUAAGCCGUUGAAGGUGUCCUGUGAGGGGUGCUGGAGGUAUCAGAAGUGCGAAUGCUGACAUAAGUAACGAUAAAGCGGGUGAAAAGCCCGCUCGCCGGAAGACCAAGGGUUCCUGUCCAACGUUAAUCGGGGCAGGGUGAGUCGACCCCUAAGGCGAGGCCGAAAGGCGUAGUCGAUGGGAAACGGGUUAAUAUUCCCGUACUUGGUGUUACUGCGAAGGGGGGACGGAGAAGGCUAUGUUGGCCGGGCGACGGUAGUCCCGGUUUAAGCGUGUAGGUGUGUGUUCCAGGUAAAUCCGGUUCACUUUAACACUGAGGCGUGAUGACGAGGCACCACGGUGCUGAAGCAACAAAUGCCCUGCUUCCAGGAAAAGCCUCUAAGCAUCAGGUAACAUCAAAUCGUACCCCAAACCGACACAGGUGGUCAGGUAGAGAAUACCAAGGCGCUUGAGAGAACUCGGGUGAAGGAACUAGGCAAAAUGGUGCCGUAACUUCGGGAGAAGGCACGCUGACACGUAGGUGAAGUGAUUUACUCA